UGUUUGCUGUUUGUCCUCCCAG
This 22-nucleotide microRNA is filed under the name Mus musculus (house mouse). RNAcentral's name for it is "mmu-miR-7059-3p". Lineage: Eukaryota; Metazoa; Chordata; Mammalia; Rodentia; Muridae. The record is from miRBase by way of RNAcentral.